GAUCUUUGUCGCUGCAUUAUUGCACCACAUGUGUUUUUCUUUGAAACAAACUUGCUUUGGCGGUGGGCCCAGCCUGCCGCCAGAGGUCUAAACUUACAACCAAUUUUUUAUUAACUUGUCACACCAGAUUAUUACUAAAUAGUCAAAACUUUCAACAACGGAUCUCUUGGUUCUCGCAUCGAUGAAGAACGCAGCGAAAUGCGAUACGUAAUAUGAAUUGCAGAUAUUCGUGAAUCAUCGAAUCUUUGAACGCACAUUGCGCCCUCUGGUAUUCCGGAGGGCAUGCCUGUUUGAGCGUCGUUUCUCCCUCAAACCGCUGGGUUUGGUGUUGAGCAAUACGACUUGGGUUUGCUUGAAAGACGGUAGUGGUAAGGCGGGAUCGCUUUGACAAUGGCUUAGGUCUAACCAAAAACAUUGCUUGCGGCGGUAACGUCCACCACGUAUAUCUUCAAACUUUGACCUCAAAUCAGGUAGGACUACCCGCUGAACUUAAGCAUAUCAAAAGUGGGGAAAGGAAA
RNAcentral lists this ribosomal RNA (518 nucleotides) under Candida albicans. Its description in RNAcentral is "eukaryotic LSU rRNA". The stretch from base 147 to 300 matches the Rfam family "5.8S ribosomal RNA". The record is from RNAcentral. Lineage: Eukaryota; Fungi; Ascomycota; Pichiomycetes; Serinales; Debaryomycetaceae.